GAUGAACGCUGGCGGCGUGCCUAAUACAUGCAAGUCGAGCGAACAGAUGAGGAGCUUGCUCCUCUGACGUUAGCGGCGGACGGGUGAGUAACACGUGGAUAACCUACCUAUAAGACUGGGAUAACUUCGGGAAACCGGAGCUAAUACCGGAUAAUAUCUUGAACCGCAUGGUUCAAUAGUGAAAGACGGUUUUGCUGUCACUUAUAGAUGGAUCCGCGCCGCAUUAGCUAGUUGGUAAGGUAAAGGCUUACCAAGGCAACGAUGCGUAGCCGACCUGAGAGGGUGAUCGCCCACACUGGAACUGAGACACGGUCCAGACUCCUACGGGAGGCAGCAGUAGGGAAUCUUCCGCAAUGGGCGAAAGCCUGACGGAGCAACGCCGCGUGAGUGAUGAAGGUCUUCGGAUCGUAAAACUCUGUUAUUAGGGAAGAACAAAUGUGUAAGUAACUAUGCACGUCUUGACGGUACCUAAUCAGAAAGCCACGGCUAACUACGUG
This 497-nucleotide ribosomal RNA is filed under the name uncultured bacterium. Its description in RNAcentral is "partial 16S ribosomal RNA". It matches the Rfam family "Bacterial small subunit ribosomal RNA", at positions 28 to 507 of the family's 1533-position model. The record is from RNAcentral.